RNAcentral lists this ribosomal RNA (492 nucleotides) under uncultured bacterium. RNAcentral describes it as "partial 16S ribosomal RNA". It matches the Rfam family "Bacterial small subunit ribosomal RNA", at positions 29 to 507 of the family's 1533-position model. The record is from RNAcentral.
AGUGAACGCUGGCGGUAGGCCUAACACAUGCAAGUCGAACGGCAGCACAGUAAGAGCUUGCUCUUACGGGUGGCGAGUGGCGGACGGGUGAGGAAUACAUCGUAAUCUACUUUUUCGUGGGGGAUAACGUAGGGAAACUUACGCUAAUACCGCAUACGACCUACGGGUGAAAGCAGGGGAUCUUCGGACCUUGCGCGAUUGAAUGAGCCGAUGUCGGAUUAGCUAGUUGGCGGGGUAAAGGCCCACCAAGGCGACGAUCCGUAGCCGGUCUGAGAGGAUGAUCAGCCACACUGGAACUGAGACACGGUCCAGACUCCUACGGGAGGCAGCAGUGGGGAAUAUUGGACAAUGGGCGCAAGCCUGAUCCAGCCAUACCGCGUGGGUGAAGAAGGCCUUCGGGUUGUAAAGCCCUUUUGUUGGGAAAGAAAAGCAGCAGGUUAAUACCCCGCUGUUCUGACGGUACCCAAAGAAUAAGCACCGGCUAACUUCGUG